Molecule: long non-coding RNA, 246 nt
Organism: Cydia fagiglandana
Lineage: Eukaryota; Metazoa; Arthropoda; Insecta; Lepidoptera; Tortricidae
Exons: 3
Source: RefSeq, a predicted model, not a curated record
CAGGCAGCAUUUAUGUGUGCAUAAUUCCAUCAACCAUAAUAUUAUUAUUGUUGAAAUAUUUAACAACUUUAUUCGUUAUGUUCCUGGCUAUAUUCUCAUUGACGCGAGCUUCAUUCGUGGAUAACACUGAUGAACCUUGCAUGCCAUCAGUAUGUAACAGUAGCUGUCGUCGAAUGGGAUGGGAGCUGGGAUACUGCGUAUCUGACAGAACCUGUGGCUGCACGGGAACUCCACCAAAGAAAUGAA